RNAcentral lists this ribosomal RNA (451 nucleotides) under uncultured bacterium. RNAcentral describes it as "bacterial SSU rRNA". It matches the Rfam family "Bacterial small subunit ribosomal RNA", at positions 329 to 794 of the family's 1533-position model. The record is from RNAcentral.
GACCAGACUCCUACGGGAGGCAGCAGUGGGGAAUAUUGGGCAAUGGGCGCAAGCCUGACCCAGCAACGCCGCGUGAAGGAAGAAGGCUUUCGGGCUGUAAACUUCUUUUAUGAGGGACGAAGGAAGUGACGGUACCUCAUGAAUAAGCCACGGCUAACUACGUGCCAGCAGCCGCGGUAAUACGUAGGUGGCGAGCGUUAUCCGGAUUUACUGGGUGUAAAGGGCGUGUAGGCGGGAUUGCAAGUCAGAUGUGAAAACUAUGGGCUCAACCCAUAGCCUGCAUUUGAAACUGUAGUUCUUGAGUACUGGAGAGGCAGACGGAAUUCCUAGUGUAGCGGUGAAAUGCGUAGAUAUUAGGAGGAACACCAGUGGCGAGGGCGGUCUGCUGGACAGCAACUGACGCUGAGGCGCGAAAGCGUGGGGAGCAAACAGGAUUAGAUACCCCGGUAGC